This 502-nucleotide ribosomal RNA is filed under the name uncultured bacterium. RNAcentral describes it as "partial 16S ribosomal RNA". It matches the Rfam family "Bacterial small subunit ribosomal RNA", at positions 28 to 523 of the family's 1533-position model. The record is from RNAcentral.
GACGAACGCUGGCGGCGUGCCUAAUACAUGCAAGUCGAGCGAAGUGGAGGAAGCUUGCUUCCAAAGCUUAGCGGCGAACGGGUGAGUAACACGUGGGCAACCUGCCCGAUAGACCGGGAUAACUUGGGGAAACUCAAGCUAAUACAGGAUAGGAUCAUUGACCGCUUGGUUGGUGAUGGAAAGUCUGAACGACACUAGCGGAUGGGCCCGCGGCGCAUUAGCUAGGUGGUGGGGUAACAGCCUACCAAGGCGACGAUGCGUAGCCGACCUGAGAGGGUGACCGGCCCCACUGGGACUGAGACGCGGCCCAGACUCCUACGGGAGGCAGCAGGAGGGAAUCUUCCACAAUGGGCGAAAGCCUGAUGGAGCAACGCCGCGUGAGUGAUGAAGGUUUUCGGAUCGUAAAACUCUGUUGUUAGGGAAGAACACCCGGGAGAGGAUCCCGGAUUGACGGUACCUGACGAGAAAGCCCCGGCUAACUACGUGCCAGCCGCCGCCGUAA